GGAGGACUUACACUCUCGACAGAGGAGGGAGCUGGAACGUUUGGUGGUGGCUGGAACGCAUUUUUUUUUUAAUUGAGAUGGAAGGCUACGGGUGAAGGUGCAGCAGCCUGUAACACAACAGAUAUUUUUCACUUUUGCUGGAAUGGAUCUUUUGGGGAAAAGUUGAAAUAUGUUUUCAAUGGUUGGCAUUAGUUGAAUGAUAAAACACUUUUCCAUUUCUUUGAUUUUGUGCAAGCGCUGGAAUAAUGGGAGUUGCCGUUUAUUUUUUUUUUCUUUUUAUUGAAUGCAAGUUACAUUUAAUACUUUGAAGAAUUAAUUUCAUUUGAAGAUGGAAUGUGGUUACGGGUUGGAAGGGACGUGAGAGUUUUUUUUUUUCUUUUUCUUUGUGUUUUCAAUGAAUGAAAGUUUGAUUAGGUGGGAGGCUAGAUGAUAGGACUCUUGGCAGCAGAAUGGGUGUAGCUUUUUUUUCUUUUAUUUAUUUUGGAAUGAAGAAAUAGUGAUUGGAUGGAACUAGGUAGAUGGUGUACGGUGGUUAAAUUUGAGAGAAGUUUUUUUCCAUUGCAAGAUAGCACUAUCACGCACCUUAAUUUACUUUUGCCGAAUUACUCAUUGCAUUUUCAUUUGGAAAUGCUCCUUGGAUUGAGCGUGCACACGGUCUCAUGAAAAGAGGGCAUUCCUAACAUCUGCGUUCAUUGCAUUAUAGGUUGGUACAACAUUGGUAUUUUAAAUCCUUUGAUAACAUUUGGUUUACACGUGUGAUUGUUUUCGGUGAAGAGGUGACAAUUUCUUUUUGAUUCUUAAUAGCAUUUUGUUUAUUAUUUUAAUGUUGCAUCUUUAAUUGAUUCAUGCAUUCUUUUUUUUUUUUAUUAAUUUUGCUACAUUGCAUGCUUUAGAGAAAUGAGCAUUUCAUAUUUUUUUUUAGCUCAAUUUUCAAUUUAAUAGCACUGAUGUAUUUUUUUUAUUUAUUUCUUCCACUUCAAUUUAUCAUGCACUUUAAUCAUUUAAUUUUAUUUCCAAGUUGCAUCAUGCAUUUGGUUACUAACACACGCAUUGUCUUUUUAAUUAAAGUGGAUGAAUUUUAGGUUUAUUUACUGCAUUUUAGUUUCGGUUCAUUGAUACUUUGAUUGGCUUGAAAUCUUUUGCUUUUCUUUGCUUGGGAAGAUGAUUAUGAUGUUUGAGAGGGUCAUUGAUUGUAACAGAAAUACCCUGUGUGAGGAUUUGAGCCACUUGAUAUUCUUUCUUGUGUGUGAUAUGUCUCUUGAUUGCUUGCACAUAUGCCUUGGCUUGACUCUUGUUGAUUAUUCUUGAUUGAUAUGCUUGUUUGGAAGUGAUAAAGGCGAUUUUGUUGUUGAGCCUCUCUAGCCAAAUGAGCCUACCCUGUUUUGAUCCUUUAAUAGCCCUUUUGAGCCUAUACUUUUCCCAUUUCUUUGUUUUGAAGCUCAUGCACUAGCCUUAUGUGAAAAAACCAUGAUUACUUUAACCUUAGGGAAUUUUGGAGCUUUGGAAUUGUUUUGGGAAUAAGUGUGGUCUCUUGGGAAAUUCAGAUGAAUUGGCUAGUCGGUUCCUCUUCUUGCUUUUGUUUUGUGAAUAUUAUGAGUAUCUUUUCUCUUACAAUUGUGCUCUGAAAAGUGAGAAAAGAAAAGAGACAAGAUGAAAAAAAAAAAAGAAAAAAAAUACAGAAAAAUAAGAAAAUUAAAAAAAUUGUUGUGUGAAUAAUGGAGUCAAGAAGAGGAUUGAAUUAGAGGGUUUGGGUGUGAUUAGAUUGUGUUUACACUUGUUCCCCAUUGCUCCUCUAUUUCUUUUGGUUUGUAGCUUCUCAUCCAUAUUUAUCCUCCCUUGUCCUUGGC
RNAcentral lists this long non-coding RNA (1847 nucleotides) under Vigna radiata. Its description in RNAcentral is "long non-coding RNA (VRAD_LNC009784)". The record is from RNAcentral. Lineage: Eukaryota; Viridiplantae; Streptophyta; Magnoliopsida; Fabales; Fabaceae.